UCCCAGAAUGCAUCCCCUAAGCAAAGGAAGCAGAGUGUGUACACGCCACCGGCUAUGAAAGGACCAAGCAACCAAGAAGAAAAGAAGAGAUGGGAAUAGUAAAAGGCAACUGCAUUAGGGGAAGAUGGAUCAGAAGAGAAGAGGGAUUGCCUUGUGUUAUUAUACGACAGUCAACGGAACCAAACUAAGUCAUGAGUCAGAGAUGUAUACACACAUAUAGCAUGUAAUGACAUAAGUACUGUAACUGAGUAUUUUGUCUUUGAAAACUCGGUCUUAGAAAAUGAUUCUAAAUUGUAAUCUGUUUUUGUUUGUUUGCUUGCUUUUGUUCACGUUUUUGUCUUUGUCUUGUUUUUGUUUUAUUUUAUUUGAAACUUCUUCCAGGAAAAAUUUUCAGCCACAAAUCACUAACGGAAUAAUUUACUCUACUUACUGUGUGAACUGUUGCUAUAAAAUAUUGCAUACCAGGUUUUUUUCUUUUACAAAGAUUUAUGUGAUGUGGUAUUAAAUUCUCUGGAAUGUG
This 520-nucleotide long non-coding RNA is filed under the name Rattus norvegicus (Norway rat). RNAcentral's name for it is "long non-coding RNA NONRATT018298". Lineage: Eukaryota; Metazoa; Chordata; Mammalia; Rodentia; Muridae. The record is from RNAcentral.